ACUGGUCAUUGUGGGCAGAUGUAUGUAUCCUGUAAUACAGGAAAGAAAUGAUAAGACAGGGAGACGUGUUUCCUCUUUUCAAUGUUCUCCGCCAUUAUUUAUUCAUAAACAUCAUCAGUUCACUGAACACGGUGCAUUGUCUCUUUUUUCCAGUAUCAUAACUACUGUACUUUAGCUGUAUCUUUAUACAGGUUUCUUGGCUUUACAUAGCCACACAAGUCAAUACACACAGUACAACUUCAUGUCACUAGUUGGUCCAAAACUGUUUCUCUAUGGUUAACUCUUCGAGUAUAGUUUGACUAUAAUUGCACUCUCAAUGCACUAACAUAAAUUUACUAUCUAGCAAGACUUGGACUUAUAAGCAAUGGUGUCAGUAACCAAAUCAUUGGAAAAAAACAACACCUUCUAGCAAGUUAACAAAACAGACUAAACACGGAGCCAGAUGACCUGUGAUCUUAAAAGGAGACGUGUGGCCCACUUAGUAUCUGGUAGCUAGCAUGCUAUUUAAGAGAAUGAUCGAGUGUACCACCGCCAUUACUAUCGCUCUCGGUGGGCAUUAGCUUACUUUCCACGAAUACACAGAACCAUUUUCCCCUAGUUUCACUCUACCACUCACCCUUGAAUCAUAACUCAACAUUUGCUUAUUGACUCUAGCAGUUUUGUGGGGUUUUCUUGUUCAACACUAACCUGUAAUACAGGAAAGAAAUGAUAAGACAGGGAGACGUGUUUCCUCUUUUCGAUGUUCUCCGCCAUUAUGAGGAAAUAGCGGUGCGUGCGCUCCCGUCUACAG
This is a long non-coding RNA of Monopterus albus (swamp eel), 790 nucleotides long. RefSeq lists it as uncharacterized. The transcript has 3 exons. The record is from RefSeq and is a predicted model, not a curated record. Lineage: Eukaryota; Metazoa; Chordata; Actinopteri; Synbranchiformes; Synbranchidae.